Molecule: ribosomal RNA, 392 nt
Filed under: uncultured bacterium
Lineage: Bacteria
Description: bacterial SSU rRNA
Rfam family: Bacterial small subunit ribosomal RNA
Source: RNAcentral
AUUGAACGCUGGCGGCAGGCCUAACACAUGCAAGUCGAGCGGUAGAGAGGUGCUUGCAUCUCUUGAGAGCGGCGGACGGGUGAGUAAUGCCUAGGAAUCUGCCUGGUGUGGGGGAUAACGUUCGGAAACGGACGCCAAUACCGCAUACGUCCUACGGGAGAAAGCGGGGGGAUCUUCGGACCUCGCGCCAUUAGAUGAGCCUAGGUCGGAUUAGCUAGUUGGUGAGGUAAUGGGCUCACCAAGGCGACGAUCCGUAACUGGUCUGAGAGGAUGAUCAGUCACACUGGAACUGAGACACGGUUCCAGACUCCUACGGGAGGCAGCAGUGGGGAAUAUUGGGACAAUGGGCGAAAGCCUGAUCCAGCCAUGCCGCGUGUGUGAAGAAGGUCUUC